This 301-nucleotide long non-coding RNA is filed under the name Homo sapiens (human). RNAcentral's name for it is "non-protein coding lnc-PRH2-3:1". Lineage: Eukaryota; Metazoa; Chordata; Mammalia; Primates; Hominidae. The record is from RNAcentral.
UCAUGGCAGGACAAGUGUUUAGAAAGUUACUUCCACUCUUUGACUAAGUAUUGGUUGAAAGGUGUGCCGCCAAAACUGUAACCAAAGGAGCCAUUAUGCUUCUGGAAAAAUCUCAAGGAAAAGUAUUGGCAGCCACAGUAGUAGCUGUUGGAUCAGGCUCUAAAGGAAAGGGUGGAGAGAUUCAACCAGUUCGUGUGAACGUUAGAGAUAAUGUUCUUCUUCCAGAAUAUGGAGGCACCAAAGUAGAUGACAAGGAUUAGUUCUCAUUUAGAGAUGGUGACAUUCUUGGGAAGUAUGUAGA